UACGUAGGGGGCUAGCGUUGUCCGGAAUCAUUGGGCGUAAAGAGCGUGUAGGCGGUCUGGUAGGUCCGUUGUGAAAACUCGAGGCUCAACCUCGAGACGCCGAUGGAAACCCUCAGACUAGAGUCCGGAAGAGGAGAGUGGAAUUCCUGGUGUAGCAGUGAAAUGCGCAGAUAUCAGGAAGAACACCCGUGGCUAAGGCGGCUCUCUAGUACGGUACUGACGCUGAGACGCGAAAGCGUGGGGAGCGAACAGG
RNAcentral lists this ribosomal RNA (253 nucleotides) under uncultured bacterium. RNAcentral describes it as "partial 16S ribosomal RNA". It matches the Rfam family "Bacterial small subunit ribosomal RNA", at positions 524 to 776 of the family's 1533-position model. The record is from RNAcentral.